RNAcentral lists this ribosomal RNA (253 nucleotides) under uncultured bacterium. Its description in RNAcentral is "partial 16S ribosomal RNA". It matches the Rfam family "Bacterial small subunit ribosomal RNA", at positions 524 to 776 of the family's 1533-position model. The record is from RNAcentral.
UACAGAGGGUGCAAGCGUUAAUCGGAAUUACUGGGCGUAAAGCGUGCGUAGACGGUAGCGUAAGUCGGGUGUGAAAGCCCCGGGCUCAACCUGGGAAUUGCAUUCGAGACUGCUCUGCUAGGGUGCGGAAGAGGGAAGCGGAAUUUCCGGUGUAGCGGUGAAAUGCGUAGAGAUCGGGAGGAACAUCUGUGGCGAAGGCGACUGCCUGGACCAGCACUGACACUGAGGCACGAAAGCGUGGGGAGCAAACAGG